UUUUUUUUUUUGUCACGUUAAAAGAUUUUUUUAGGGUUAAUGGUAAAAUAAGCAUCAAAGUUGUAAUUUGACCACAAUUUUUUUCUUCACCCUUUAUUUUUUUUUACGCUAAAAAAAUGCAUAUAUAUUUUUUUUAAAGAAAACAAUUGUAAAAUUUAAAGAAUUGUAUAUUUAUUCUUCUCUUUACUAUUUUUUAUACGACAUAUUUUAUUUGGUUUCUUCAUUAUAAUUAUGAUCUUUUCUUAUAUUUUUUGUAAACACACAUUUUUGUACUAAUCUGUCAUGAAAAAAAAAUCGAUUGAGGAAGUAACCCCGUCUUUUCUUAUAUCCAAUUCAUUUACAAUAAUUGCAUAAAAAAUAAAUAAAUUGGUGUAUUUUUUUAUAUAAAUAACGACAAAUUAAAAUAAUCAUCUCCAUUUUAAUUAGUUUUUGUUGUCAUGAACAUAUAUAGAUGAUGAAGUUAUUUGAGAAAGAGUUUAGGAGUUCAACAUAACAGUAAAGCAACAUGUGAAUCCAACAUAACAUAACAAGCAAUGGGAGAAGAGAAAAAAAAAAAAAAUCAAUCAAUUAAAUGACAAUUAUUGUUUUUUUAUUUUGUGGUGAUAAGUGUUGACUACAAUAGAAAAUAUAAUUAAAGCCUACCAUAUCAAUUAAUCUAAGUCAUCAAUCAAAAUUGCAAUUAAAAGUUAAGAUUUGGAAUAAGUUAUUACACUUACUCUUGGAGUCAAAAUAUCUUCCCUCAUAUAUAUAUAUAUAUAUAUAUAUAUAUAUACACACACACACACACACACUCGUGUGUGUGUGAAGUGUUGCUUACUCUUAUUACUGCUCAGCUAAAAUCAAUCUUUGACGUUGUUAAUGAAACGCUCGCGGAAACAAAGUGUUGCAGAAGAUGAUUCAAACAAGCAACUUUCAUGCACACAUUGUAGUUCAAAACAUAAGGGUACGGUAUUCCAGAACAGUUGACAACUAUGCACUACCACUUGGGGGGACACCAUUUCGGGAGUUUAGAGUAUUUGUCAGCAGGUGAUUUAUGCUUGUAGAGGGUGCAUAUUGAUACAUCUGUUAUUCAUUUUCGCAUGUAUAUGAGCUUUACUUUUAAAAAGUUGUUAACGUAUCUUAGCCGUAUCUUAGCCAUAUCGUAUUCAAAAUUAUUUUAACAUCAUAUCAGCAUCGUAUCACAUCUUGGAUUUUAGAGGCCACUCGCCAUGAAUAAAACACGGCCCUGUGCCACUGUCAUCUUUGUGAAACACUGGCUCGUGUUUGUACAUUCUCUACUACUAUGCACACAAUUAUUUCAGAUUUA
This is a long non-coding RNA of Medicago truncatula (barrel medic), 1306 nucleotides long. RefSeq lists it as uncharacterized. NCBI's taxonomy places the organism in Eukaryota, Viridiplantae, Streptophyta, Magnoliopsida, Fabales, Fabaceae. The transcript has 2 exons. The record is from RefSeq and is a predicted model, not a curated record.